GGACGAGUAGCUCAGCGGUAGAGCAACGGAUUGCAGAUCCGUAGGUCUUGGGUUCGAUCCCCAAUUCGUCCU
This is a transfer RNA of 72 nucleotides. It matches the Rfam family "tRNA". From Rfam's summary of the family: Transfer RNA (tRNA) molecules are approximately 80 nucleotides in length. Their secondary structure includes four short double-helical elements and three loops (D, anti-codon, and T loops). The record is from Rfam.